This 400-nucleotide ribosomal RNA is filed under the name uncultured bacterium. RNAcentral describes it as "bacterial SSU rRNA". It matches the Rfam family "Bacterial small subunit ribosomal RNA", at positions 357 to 774 of the family's 1533-position model. The record is from RNAcentral.
GGGAAUUUUGCGCAAUUGGGGAAACCCUGACGCAGCAACGCCGCGUGGAGGAUGAAGUAUCUUGGUACGUAAACUCCUUUCGAUGGGGAAGAUAAUGACGGUACCCAUAGAAGAAGCCCCGGCUAACUUCGUGCCAGCAGCCGCGGUAAUACGAGGGGGGCAAGCGUUGUUCGGAAUUAUUGGGCGUAAAGGGUGCGUAGGCGGUUUGAUAAGUCAUCUGUGAAAUCUCUGGGCUCAACCCAGAGUCUGCAGGCGAAACUGUCGGGCUUGAGUAUUGGAGAGGUGAGUGGAAUUUCCGGUGUAGCGGUGAUAUGCGUAGAUAUCGGAAGGAACACCUGUGGCAAAAGCGGCUCACUUGACAAUUACUGACGCUGAUGCACGAAAGCUAGGGUAGCAAACA